Molecule: long non-coding RNA, 960 nt
Organism: Oryzias melastigma (Indian medaka)
Lineage: Eukaryota; Metazoa; Chordata; Actinopteri; Beloniformes; Adrianichthyidae
Exons: 3
Source: RefSeq, a predicted model, not a curated record
GUUACUACAAUGCAAACAUAAGAGAAAUAAAGUGCCUAAAAUCAUUUAAUGACUGAAAGUUGUUGUUUUAAAAACUAUUUGUGGUCUUUAAACAGGAAGUACAAGUUCACAUAUGCUGCAUCAAGUUUUAGCGGGUCACUUUUACCCGUUCAAAACUUACGGUCUAUUGUUAAAUCUGCAGGCAGAUUUCAACUCGUGUUUUGGUCCACUGAUGCUGUAAAUAAUGUGGUGUACUCUAUGAAGGAACACUCUUUGGUGCUAAACCUUAGUUACUUUAUUAUCUUUUUUUGUUAUUUUUUUCACUGGUUGUCGUUGAAGGUUGUUUAAAACUGAAACCCUGCUUUUUUUUUUUUUUUUUUUUAGUCAAACCACACGGCAACCAGAUUUGUUUCCAUCUUUAUCAAGAUGUAGCUGCAAACUUUGUUUUUACGGAUUUUUCAAACACUAAGUUAAUUGUAGAUUUACCCACGUUUUUAAAUUCUUCCAAUGAUUCUAGUUGAAUUUAUUCUGAGUCUCUUUUCAUCAUCAGAGCAUGAAAGAGUGAAUGACGUGAGUGUAGUUUGUUCUGCUGCUACUUCCUGAAUGUUUGCAGUUCAGAGCUGACUGCUUUCAUCAGGAAACAGUCGGUGAAGUCUGAUCAGUUAGUUUGAUCUCUAAAGAUGUCGACAGAAACUGAAGAUUUGAGAGUGAAAUUUAACAGAAAUCUUCAUCAAGAUGGAAGAGAACAAAGUGAGGUGAAGAUUUUAGAAGAUGAAGAUCAGAUCUCUGAUCAUGGAUUACAACAAACUGAAAAACCGAAGCAGAAGAAUCUUCACGCCGAGAGAAGAAACUGUUCCAGAGUUCUCAAGCUGUUUCUGGGAGUUUUCGUUCUUCUGAUUCUGGCUGGACUCAUGACACGCUAUAUUCUUGUGUCUUCGGAAAACGACAUGAAAAACAUUUUGAAUCAGAUGCAGACUGAAC